CUCGUAAUUCUCGCACUAUGUUUGCGCUCUCAAUUCUCGCUCGCAAUUCUCACACUGCGUUUACACUCUCAAUUCUCUGCGUUUGAGCUCAGUUCUCUCUCGCAAUCCUCAUACCACGUUUGCACUUUCAAUUCUCAGUGUCCCGAAGUUUAGUAGAGUAUAUGUAACUUAGAGCGAACCCCAUGCGAACCGCUGUCCAAACCCGUACGGUCCGGUGAAUACAAUACUCCUAUUUAGUCGAAAAGAAACGGAAUUGGAACGGUUCAAUGCAUACUGAUCGUACGUGAAGCUCUUCUGAUUGGGAAAUACAGUUGAAUCGAUCUACCAUACUUCUGUCCUCCUCAGGGUGAUUCCACCUCUUGUCUGUUACUCUGGUUGCAGUGCAGUGCUACUUAAGUGCUAGGAGUCAGUGCCAGCAGUCUUCCAGAUACAUGUAGGAAUUAUGAUCAGUUGUACGGGAACUUGUGAAAGGUCAACACCGUGCAAAGCUCCAUGAAGUCCCACUACACUAGUUUAGUGCUCUUCUCCUAAAAACAAGAACCAAGAUCUUGUUUUCCACGACUAUUAUCCGCAUUAGGAGGUGGAUCUGAACAUGUAAAGUCCGUGAUAGUUCCAAACCGCGUAAUCCCACAUGCAUUUCUGGUACCAAUGCAUCUGCUCAUAAAUUUAGCUUUGAAAGUCGUAUAAAAUUGCACGUUUGUGCAAAACAGAGGUGUUGAAUUGCUAGUUCACUGGAUUAAUUCAUCUUGUUUGUGACUCAAAUUAAUGUUUCGCAUAUGGUUGAUGAAA
Molecule: long non-coding RNA, 789 nt
Organism: Rhododendron vialii
Lineage: Eukaryota; Viridiplantae; Streptophyta; Magnoliopsida; Ericales; Ericaceae
Exons: 4
Source: RefSeq, a predicted model, not a curated record